RNAcentral lists this long non-coding RNA (927 nucleotides) under Equus asinus (donkey). RNAcentral's name for it is "lncRNA (ENSEASG00005029032.1)". The record is from RNAcentral. Lineage: Eukaryota; Metazoa; Chordata; Mammalia; Perissodactyla; Equidae.
CUCUUCUCUUGAAUUGGAGUGAAUGUUUUGAACAACAAAUUAUGGUAGAAAUAAUGCUUUGUGACUUCGGAGGUGAGGUCACAAAAGACCACGAAGCUUCCUGCUGUUUCUUCCAGCUUCCAUUCUCUCUCUGGAAUUUCCCUCUUGGAUGCUUCCUUUUGGAGCUCAGUCACCAUGCCUUGAGAAACCCAAGCAGGAAAAGGUUGUGUGUAGGUGCUCUAGUUGACACUGUGAGCUGAGGAAAGCCCCAGCUCUGCUGUUAAGCUCUUUUAAUUGGUUGAAUCUGGGUGGCCAGAUCAUCUAAAAUAAUCUUCCUUGUGUAUAGUCAACUGGUUAUCGACUUUAAUCACCUCUACAAAAUACCUUCACAGUGAGACCUAGAAUGGUGUUUAAUUGAAUAACUGAAGACUGUGGCCAAACUGAAUUCAUCCAUAAAACUGACCAUCACAGCACCUAACUCAGAACAGAAGAGGAGAAAGGCAUCAAGAACCUUCUUAGAAGAAUUUGUUCCUAAGAUGAUUCUUAAAGUAUGAGUAGGAUUCAGUCAGGUUCAGAGUGGAGUACAGGUGUUCCAGCUGGCAAAGGAAGGUACAUGCUUUUGAGGUUACUAGAUUGUAAACUCCAGGAGAGAAGCAAUGGCCUGUGGCCCUUUCCUUCAUGUCUGCUUAAUCAACACUGUUAGAGACCAUGAAAUGGUGGUAUUUUCAUGGGAAAAAAAUUAAUAGAGUUUAAAAGAACCAUCAUUCAUCCAAGAGGCUUUAGAGAAUAGAUGGCUUAGAGCUGGGCUUGAAGAAAAUAAAAGAACUUAGAAAAACAGAGAAGCUUGAGUGGCAUUACAGAGAGCGCACCCAGCGAUGACUCUGCUGGCUAUGGCUCCAUAUCCAGCCCUGGCAUAAAACCGGCUGCCCCUUCCCUCCUAGCCCCUCU